RNAcentral lists this ribosomal RNA (275 nucleotides) under Pseudomonas brassicacearum. Its description in RNAcentral is "partial 23S ribosomal RNA". It matches the Rfam family "Bacterial large subunit ribosomal RNA", at positions 204 to 526 of the family's 2925-position model. Lineage: Bacteria; Pseudomonadati; Pseudomonadota; Gammaproteobacteria; Pseudomonadales; Pseudomonadaceae. The record is from RNAcentral.
AAGUACCCUGAGGAAAAGAAAUCAACAGAGAUUCCCUUAGUAGUGGCGAGCGAACGGGGACUAGCCCUUAAGCUUAUUUGAUUUUAGCGGAACGCUCUGGAAAGUGCGGCCAUAGUGGGUGAUAGCCCUGUACGCGAAAGGAUCUUAGAAGUGAAAUCGAGUAGGACGGAGCACGAGAAACUUGGUAUGAAUAAGGGGGGACCAUCCUCCAAGGCUAAAUAAUACUGACUGACCGAUAGUGAACUAGUACCGUGAGGGAAAGGCGAAAAGAACCC